This 253-nucleotide ribosomal RNA is filed under the name uncultured bacterium. Its description in RNAcentral is "partial 16S ribosomal RNA". It matches the Rfam family "Bacterial small subunit ribosomal RNA", at positions 524 to 776 of the family's 1533-position model. The record is from RNAcentral.
UACAGAGGGUGCAAGCGUUAAUCGGAAUUACUGGGCGUAAAGCGUGCGUAGGUGGCUGUUUAAGUCAGCUGUGAAAGCCCUGGGCUUAACCUGGGAACUGCAGUUGAUACUGAAUAGCUAGAAUAGGGUAGAGGGUAGUGGAAUUUCCGGUGUAGCGGUGAAAUGCGUAGAUAUCGGAAAGAACACCAGUGGCGAAGGCGGCUACCUGGACUCAUAUUGACACUGAGGCACGAAAGCGUGGGGAGCAAACAGG